RNAcentral lists this ribosomal RNA (301 nucleotides) under uncultured bacterium. RNAcentral's name for it is "partial 16S ribosomal RNA". It matches the Rfam family "Bacterial small subunit ribosomal RNA", at positions 509 to 807 of the family's 1533-position model. The record is from RNAcentral.
CAGUCGCCGCGGUAAUACGUAGGUGGCAAGCGUUGUCCGGAAUUAUUGGGCGUAAAGGGCUCGCAGGCGGUUUCUUAAGUCUGAUGUGAAAGCCCCCGGCUCAACCGGGGAGGGUCAUUGGAAAUUGGGAAACUUGAGUGCAGAAGAGGAGAGUGGAAUUCCACGUGUAGCGGUGAAAUGCGUAGAGAUGUGGAGGAACGCCAGUGGCGAAGGCGACUCUCUGGUCUGUGACUGACGCUGAGGAGCGAAAGCGUGGGGAGCGAACAGGAUUAGAUACCCGGGUAGUCCCUGUCUCUUAUAC